This 599-nucleotide ribosomal RNA is filed under the name Brevundimonas aurantiaca. RNAcentral describes it as "bacterial SSU rRNA". It matches the Rfam family "Bacterial small subunit ribosomal RNA", at positions 100 to 735 of the family's 1533-position model. The record is from RNAcentral. Lineage: Bacteria; Pseudomonadati; Pseudomonadota; Alphaproteobacteria; Caulobacterales; Caulobacteraceae.
GACGGGUGAGUAACGCGUGGGAAUCUACCCAAUUCUACGGAACAACAGUUGGAAACGACUGCUAAUACCGUAUACGCCCUACGGGGGAAAGAUUUAUCGGAAUUGGAUGAGCCCGCGUUGGAUUAGCUAGUUGGUGGGGUAAAGGCCUACCAAGGCGACGAUCCAUAGCUGGUCUGAGAGGAUGAUCAGCCACAUUGGGACUGAGACACGGCCCAAACUCCUACGGGAGGCAGCAGUGGGGAAUAUUGGACAAUGGGCGCAAGCCUGAUCCAGCCAUGCCGCGUGAGUGAUGAAGGUCUUAGGAUUGUAAAGCUCUUUCACCGGAGAAGAUAAUGACGGUAUCCGGAGAAGAAGCCCCGGCUAACUUCGUGCCAGCAGCCGCGGUAAUACGAAGGGGGCUAGCGUUGUUCGGAAUUACUGGGCGUAAAGCGCACGUAGGCGGAUAUUUAAGUCAGGGGUGAAAUCCCAGAGCUCAACUCUGGAACUGCCUUUGAUACUGGGUAUCUUGAGUAUGGAAGAGGUGAGUGGAAUUGCGAGUGUAGAGGUGAAAUUCGUAGAUAUUCGCAGGAACACCAGUGGCGAAGGCGGCUCACUGGUCC